AUCCAAAUAAGAAUAUCAGUUCAGCUUUAAGUUUUCCAAAAAUAUAACCAAAUCAAAUGAAAACUUAAAACUUAAUCUAAAGGGGGACAGCUCUUUAAAAUAAGGAAACAACCUCUAACAGUGGGUAAAAAAUAAAAGCUCCAUAGUUGGCCUAAGAGCAGCCAUCAAUUAAGAAAGCGUUCAAGCUCGACAACCCAUAAAAUUUAUAAUACCAAUAAAACUUAAUGAACCCCUGAUAAACAAUUGGAUUAAUCUAUAUGUAUAUAGAAGAAAUAAUGUUAACAUUAGUAACAAGAAAUAAUUCUCCUCGCACAAGCUUAAAUCAUUCACACAUGAUUGUUAACAACUCAAUAAGACAAGACACCUCAUUAAUACUCUUAUUAGACUAAUUGUUAACCCGACACAGGAGUGCUACUCAGGAAAGACAAAACAAAGCAAAAGGAACUCGGCAAACACAAAUCCCGCCUGUUUACCAAAAACAUCACCUCUAGCAUACUUAGUAUUAGAGGCACUGCCUGCCCAGUGACAUUCGUUCAACGGCCGCGGUAUCCUGACCGUGCAAAGGUAGCAUAAUCACUUGUUCUUUAAAUAAGGACUAGUAUGAAUGGCAAGACGAGGGUUUAUCUGUCUCUUGCUUUACGUCAGUGAAAUUGAUCUUCCCGUGAAGAAGCGGGAAUAAUAUAAUAAGACGAGAAGACCCUAUGGAGCUUUAAUUUAUUAGCUUACUUAACCAAUUUUUAACCCAUAAGGGCAUAACACAUACACUUAAACCUAAGCUAAUAAUUUCGGUUGGGGUGACCUCGGAGUACAAUAAAACCUCCGAAUGAUAUUAGCCUAGAUCCAACAAAUCGAAGUUUAAAUCACCAAUUGACCCAAAUUCCUUUUGAUCAACGGACCAAGUUACCCUAGGGAUAACAGCGCAAUCCUAUUCUAGAGUUCAUAUCGACAAUGGGGUUUACGACCUCGAUGUUGGAUCAGGACAUCCUAAUGGUGCAGCAGCUAUUAAGGGUUCGUUUGUUCAACGAUUAAUAG
RNAcentral lists this ribosomal RNA (1032 nucleotides) under Cavia porcellus (domestic guinea pig). RNAcentral's name for it is "partial 16S ribosomal RNA". It matches the Rfam family "Bacterial large subunit ribosomal RNA", at positions 916 to 2593 of the family's 2925-position model. Lineage: Eukaryota; Metazoa; Chordata; Mammalia; Rodentia; Caviidae. The record is from RNAcentral.